GAUGGACGCUGGCGGCGUGCCUAAUACAUGCAAGUCGAGCGAACGGACGAGAAGCUUGCUUCUCUGAUGUUAGCGGCGGACGGGUGAGUAACACGUGGAUAACCUACCUAUAAGACUGGGAUAACUUCGGGAAACCGGAGCUAAUACCGGAUAAUAUUUUGAAUCGCAUGGUUCAAAAGUGAAAGACGGUCUUGCUGUCACUUAUAGAUGGAUCCGCGCUGCAUUAGCUAGUUGGUAAGGUAACGGCUUACCAAGGCAACGAUGCAUAGCCGACCUGAGAGGGUGAUCGGCCACACUGGAACUGAGACACGGUCCAGACUCCUACGGGAGGCAGCAGUAGGGAAUCUUCCGCAAUGGGCGAAAGCCUGACGGAGCAACGCCGCGUGAGUGAUGAAGGUCUUCGGAUCGUAAAACUCUGUUAUUAGGGAAGAACAUAUGUGUAAGUAACUGUGCACAUCUUGACGGUACCUAAUCAGAAAGCCACGGCUAACUACGUG
RNAcentral lists this ribosomal RNA (497 nucleotides) under uncultured bacterium. RNAcentral describes it as "partial 16S ribosomal RNA". It matches the Rfam family "Bacterial small subunit ribosomal RNA", at positions 28 to 507 of the family's 1533-position model. The record is from RNAcentral.